UCACGUCUCUUGGGCAUGGAUCCCUCUUUCAAUCUCUCUCUCUCUCUCCCAAACUCUCAUCUUGCUCUUCCUCUCCACAUGGAAACAGAUCCGAGUCUCUCUCAAAUUGCAACAAGGGAAGUUGAGGCAUGGAUCUCCUGCUAUGACGGAGCUCAUCUAGAUCAGGUUCGUGUUCUCACACUGAUUUGUUUUGAAUUUCUUUUUCCCAGUUUAGAUUCACUGAUUUGUUUUGAAUUUCUUUUUCCUAGUUUAGAUUCAAUUUUUUCCCAUCACGCCCUUUGAUAGUGCUAUCUAGGGAUUCAAUUUCCUUUAUCAUGUGGUUUCUUGAAGCAGAUGAUAACAGUGGCAAAAUAAAAUCAGUGUCCUCUAUCCCUCCAAAAACAAGAAAUAGAUCUUCCUAUAGCGUAUAGAAAAAAAUGUGAUGUCAAUCCUUCCUGUACAGGAGGAAUACUAUUUUCUGAAUUAUGGUAUUAAUUUUCGGAAAGUUUCUAGGCCAUGACGUUUUAUGGAUCCAAGGAGUAGAUGCACUGACUGUAGAUAUUAACUUUUGGUUCCUAAAUGUCUCCAGCCACAGUCAAGACCUUGAUUCACUAAUAAACUAACUAAUAAGAGUUUUGUGGUAUGUCGUUCUAUUUAUGCAUGCUAGGGACCAUGGUGCUAACUAUGUAGAUUGACACUAGAUUCAUUGAUUUAUUUUUCUCAUCCUUCAUUCAUAUUUGUAUACUUCAGACUACUGUAUAUUCUUUUCUUUUUUGUAGGUUUUUGGACAUGCAUGUGUGAACAUUGCUCCACAAUUAAUUACACUGUAAUACAUUAGCAGGUAAGGCGAAUCACUUCUUAAGAUUCCCCAUCAUGAGUAACUACAGAAACAGGUGCAUGACCAUGUCUGCUCACGAACAAGCGAAGCUAUGCUAUCUGAUGCUAAAUCUAGCAUAUUCGGCUAGAUCUGCUAGGGAUUUACUCGAAUAAUUAUCUAUUAUAUUUUAACUUCUUCUUCGCAAUUUGUAUUUGAUGAAUCAUGCUUUCUCAAAGUUUAACAUAAAUUUCGAUUUUGGACAUUUACUGAGAAACUGGAGCUAGGUGUUAUGAGCAUGAUUCUUCAAUGCAGAGAAUAAUUGGAGGACCAGUAAGAAAAUUUUCAUGAUUUUGCCAAGUGCGCCGCCAUGCUCCACCCACACUUGCAAGCCCUCCAAUUAGAUAGGCGUAUAACCACGAGUAUCAUCCAUUUACCCCAGGAUACGAGAGCUUUCUCUCAUGCAGUAUUGACUCGCAAUUUUCCAAGUGACAUCAUCUCUGUUUUGUUUUAUCUUAGAAGUUGGAAAUUUGAUAGCACCUAACCUCAUAGACAUGUGUUUGUUCACGUUUUUCUUAAAAUCAGACUAAUUGUAAGUCUACUUCUAUGGCUGAUGCAACUCAGCAUUAGUAUCUUCCAGAUCUCAUAUAUUCAUUGUCACUAGAUGAAUUCAGGUCUGAUGGGGUCUUCCCUUUGCACAUGUGUGCAUUUAGCUAAAUUGCCAUCUAAUUGUUGCCACUAAUCACAAAUGUAAGUGCAGUCUGAAAGUUGAAGGAUGACAUGUUCUCUAGGGUCGGCAAUAAUUAAAAAAUAUAGUGGUACCCAAGGUAAUACUUGAGAAUUGUUUGUGGAUGAUGUGAUUUCUACUUUCUUCUGAUGCCUUUUCCCUUUUUCAUCUGUACAGAUCUCAUGAUCUUUAGUGACCACAGUGUCAUGUAAACUACACAUACAGUUGUGGUACUUGAUUUGGAAACAUCAUAUAAAACAUACUACAACAAAAAGAAUCUUCUAUUUUCUAUCUUUCACAUAUUGAACGAUGCACUUCAAAAUUUUCAUUUCUGCUAUGCACACAUGUAGGCACUGGAGCAUAAUUCUAUCAUCUACCUAUGGAAGACGAUCCAACAUGGAUGCUCUAAAAAGUACCGGUAUGUAGCCUUUUAAUUUCUAUAACAUGCACUCACUGCUACCUGCUUUGCACUGGAUCUGAUGUGUUGAUAUGUACAUUUAACCAACUUAUUUGUUCAGAUUUUCCACAUAUUUCACUCAAGUAAAACAUAUGUAUAUGUUCAGUUUGUUUUCUUAAUGUCUUGACCAAUUCGUCAAUGAGGAUAAAUGCAUGUAGUUAUUUUACGCCUAUUAUCCUUUAAAAUUAUUAAAAGAACUUCCCCGAGAUAUGUAACCCUGAUGCUCCUGCUAUUUUCGGCCAUUAUAUUAUAGCCUAUGAAUUUAUUUCUUCUAACUUAAUAAAUUCACCGAGGAUUAUAAUAAGGUUGCCGAGUUGUUGGAUUUAUUAAGUCAAUUACAUGUACGUCAAAACUUAUGGUUUGAGGCUACGACCAUAGCUUUUCAAGACUAUUUGUUCCCUCUUUUGCUCCUGCAAUACACAUUGUCUCCUUAUGUUGGAUAACCAAUUCUCUUUGUGCUCAUUUUCUCUUUGUGAAGAUUUUUUUUUGCUACGACCAUAAGAUUUGUCUUGACUAAAGUGUAUAUUGAUGGAUAUAAACUUUUAAUGGUCCUCACAAUUCUAUCAAUCAAUAGACAUAUGAAGAAAAUCGGCCUAUAUAAUAUAUACACUUUGGCCCAUACAUGUUGCGAAGAGUAUUUUUUGAAGUAUAUUUACAUAGUCUUUCUAUUUCUAUACAUGGAAAAUAUAUAUUAUGACACAAUACGUGCUCACUACUAGAAUUCCCAAUUUUGCUGAGUGCCAAACGCACUGGGCAAACGCAAAAAGAAAAACUCGGCAAUGUGGCUCUCACGAUCAUCCUUCUAUGUCACGAUUGCAUUAGAAGCUCCAAUCUCGCCGAACUUAUUUCUCAGGUUUCUUUUGUUGCAAAGCCAAUAUUAGAUUAGAAUUAUUUUAUUUGUACACAGGAGUGAUAUUUAAUUGUAUUAACAGAAGUUUUGUUAAUUAACUGAAUAACGUAGCUGCAGUCUAACUCUGAUCCCAUCUUUUAGAUUUUCACCAACGUGACUCCCAUCUAUGGAUAUUUUCAUGUGUUGAUAGCAAUCGUUAUGUUAUUAUGUGCGUGUCUUGCAUCCGAGGCUAAGCUCCAAGGUCGCUUUUGCUACAAAGCUAGGUAUUUGAUUACAGUUUUUUAUCUCUAAAUAGGAGAGUAAUUUUGCUCUUUAACAGAGCAAAACACGAAUAUGUUGGACGCCUGCUGGCAAAGUUUAUUUUGCCGGGUUCUUUUCCACGGGCACUCAGUAGACACCUGCAAAGAAUAUUGUCGAUUGCAAAACACGGGGAACUCAACAAACAAAUGACACAGAUAGAAUGACAAGUUAACGGCCAUGCUACAUGGCACCAUAGUUUUGCCGUUUUCUGCACUCGGCAAAACUAUGCUCCCGUAGGGCUACCCAGAUGGCGCCAUGUGUAAUGCUUGCCGAGUACAACAUUAUGCAAAGGGGUCCUAGAUACUAGCGUUCUAGCCUAAAGAAGGUGAUUCUAAAUGUCCAUGUUGCUUGAUUGUUACCUUGAUGCUAAUAUUUGAUCUGUUUUCCAAAUUAAAAAUCCCCAUGCAGGAUGUUUAUAAAAUCUGCAUAUAACAUCACCUGCAUCGGAAAUUUCUGUAGCAUUUGAGGAUGAGAAAAUGGUGUAUAUGGUGUUGAAGGAAGCGUAGGAAGAAGCAUCUUGACAAAAGACAUGGCAAAGAUGAUGUCCAAGGGAAAAGCAGGGAAGUAAAACAUAAUUAGUUUAGAGUGGUUAAUGUGAAAGCAGUUUUAGUUUCAGCAAGAGGUGGAUUCUGAAGAUAACAACAGGUCAACAGCACAAGACUAUGAUAAGGCAUAACAUAGUUCUGAUGGGAAGGCAUAACAUAGUUGCUGGAAGAUAUAUUUGUACAAUAACAGGCACGCACAUGCAUGUGUAGUUAUACGGGAUUUAAAAAGAGUUAAUAUGAGAGAUUCAAUUCUGAUAGCUGAAAGAAAAUUACAGAACAAAUUUCUGUAAGGUAGCAGCCCAAUGAAUUGUACAAAUAUUGAUGCAUGCAGGUGAUGAUAUACACUAUCAUGUCAAACCCAGAAUCAAAUGUGUGUUGUGCAUUAAGUUUUCAGUUCUUCGUGACAUGUUUUGAUUAGUUCUGAAGCAUCCAGUUUAACAUCUUAUGUCUAAGACAUUUGGAGAAGGAUGAGAAAGAAUAUUUUGUCCUUAAUUCUAUGUUACAUCAUGGUAUCUAAGGUGAGCAAAUUUAUGGCCUCAAUUCUGGGUAACCCUCAAGGUACAUAAGGUCAAUCAUAUUAAUAGAUAUAGUUCUUUUGGCAAAAAAAUACUAUUGUCAAGACCCUUAAUAGUAUCUUUCAGACAUCCAUUCUUUGAAUAUUGAUGAAAUAUUAUAUACAACAAAAGGGUUUGCUGGAGUUGAUUUUAUUUGAGAUAUUCUAGCGCUGAUUUAAAUAUCAAUUUGAGCCUCUUAUUUGGAGAAUGCAAGGCUAGAGUACCACUUUGUUUGGGAUAGGAUAUGCUUGCUCCAUAACUUUAAUAAUUUGGAACUCAUGUUUAG
RNAcentral lists this long non-coding RNA (4512 nucleotides) under Triticum aestivum (bread wheat). RNAcentral describes it as "long non-coding RNA (TAES_LNC013322)". The record is from RNAcentral. Lineage: Eukaryota; Viridiplantae; Streptophyta; Magnoliopsida; Poales; Poaceae.